UGUUCUGGGCUACACACGUGCUACAAUGCCGGUACAGACGGACGCAAAGCCGCGAGGUGGAGCAAAUCCUAAAAAGCCGGUCUCAGUUCGGAUUGCAGGCUGCAAUUCGCCUGCAUGAAGUCGGAAUCGCUAGUAAUCGCAGGUCAGCAUACUGCGGUGAAUACGUUCCCGGGCCCUU
RNAcentral lists this ribosomal RNA (178 nucleotides) under uncultured Bacillus sp. RNAcentral's name for it is "partial 16S ribosomal RNA". It matches the Rfam family "Bacterial small subunit ribosomal RNA", at positions 1205 to 1382 of the family's 1533-position model. The record is from RNAcentral. Lineage: Bacteria; Bacillati; Bacillota; Bacilli; Caryophanales; Bacillaceae.